CACACAGCUCCACAGAGACAAGAAUAGCACGCCCUUUUGAUCACUGUACAGCAAACUCAGUUGUGGAAUUGACGGUUAUUUGGAUUGAUUGAGUGACCCCACAUAACAAUGGCAAAACCAAGGGAACGAGUACUGGACUUCACACACUCUACCCCGCAACGAGCGCUCAAGCUCCUCGAAUUACCACCCGAAUUGGCAGAGCUCAUUUCCUCCGGGAAUGGAUCCACUCUCUACCUAAAGUCCGGACGAGCCUCCUCCUCCUCCUCUCCCCCCUCGACAUCCAGCGACGCCUAUGUAAACCUCUGUACAACCACCCAAACCUACAUGGUCCGCCAAGUCCACUCCUCGAAUUGCAUAUACCUUACCCAGCCCUGCCGCUCAACCACCCCCCACCAGCCGCAGCAGCCAAAGCCAGAUGCCCCCGCCUGCAUCACAACCAUCGCCAAAUGCAACGCCACGCUCGAACUCGUGAAGAUGGAUAGUAGUAACUCAUACUCCGCGUUCCCAUACCUGCAGCGUGCUCUGCGUGUGUAUAGCGGCACGCAUGCCGAGGAGGGUAGGGAUGUUGAUAUGCUCGAUGGCAGCGAUGGAGAUACGGGGUUAUCUGCGGCUUCUACUAAUACAACGGUGCG
This 632-nucleotide small RNA is filed under the name Histoplasma capsulatum. Its description in RNAcentral is "hypothetical RNA". The record is from RNAcentral. RNAcentral also lists the same sequence under 1 other name. Lineage: Eukaryota; Fungi; Ascomycota; Eurotiomycetes; Onygenales; Ajellomycetaceae.